Aquila chrysaetos chrysaetos is the source of this 446-nucleotide long non-coding RNA. RefSeq lists it as uncharacterized. The record is from RefSeq and is a predicted model, not a curated record. NCBI's taxonomy places the organism in Eukaryota, Metazoa, Chordata, Aves, Accipitriformes, Accipitridae. The transcript is spliced from 3 exons.
AGCGGGAGCUUUCCAUACCGCUUCCUCAGGACAGCCGCACCGGCGCCGGCCUCCUCCCCCCUCAGGGGCGCGCACAGAGCGGGCGUGAGGGCGGCCCCUCUCCCUGUCCUCCGGCGGGAGCGACCGGAAGAGCGGCCCCUCCCUCUCCCCUCAGGCGAGAGCAGCGGUGAGGUUGGCUCUUCACCUCGGGCAGGCACGGCGGCCUUUUCCUCUCACCGCGACCGGCCGAGGGGCUUUCCGAGAGGACUGCUGGGAGCACCGGCAUAGCCCAGCGCCAAGCGGAGGAACUUCACCCUUUCAGUUACACAGUUCAGACCAAGAUCAGCAAACUUGAGGCUUCUAAGUAACUGGAGGUACUGAAGGAGUAAGAGCAGAAGGGAAGCAGUAAGAAGCGAGCUAUGUAACGUUGUGAGCGUUCUCCUUACCAUGCCAGUUUGAAUUCACAG